GACGAACGCUGGCGGCGUGCUUAAUACAUGCAAGUCGAACGGACAGGCGCUGCUCUUGUGGCGCUCUCGAUUGGCGAACGGGUGUGUAUCACGCGUGUAUCCCCUCCUUGUCUUUCUGAUAUCUCCUGGAAACAGCGGCUAUUACCGGAUAGAAUCUCCUGCAGCACGGUGGGCGUUGGAAAGUUUCGGCGGUUGGGGCUGGUCUCGCUGCUUAUCCGCCUCUUUGUGAGGUAGGUGCUUACCAAGGGUUUGACGGGUAGCCGGCCUGAGAGGGUGACCGGCGACAUUACGACUGAGGGACGGAGCAGACGCCUACGGGAGGCAACAGUGGGAAAUAUUGCAGAAUAAGCGGGAGCCAGAUGCAGCGACGUCGCGAGCGGGAUGACCGCCUUCGGGUUGUAAACCACUGUCGACGGUGACGAAGCGUGAGUGACGGUAAUGGGUAAAAAAGCACCGGCUAACUACGUG
RNAcentral lists this ribosomal RNA (468 nucleotides) under uncultured bacterium. Its description in RNAcentral is "partial 16S ribosomal RNA". It matches the Rfam family "Bacterial small subunit ribosomal RNA", at positions 28 to 507 of the family's 1533-position model. The record is from RNAcentral.